UGAACCUGCGGAAGGAUCAUUAAAGAGAUAGGGUCUUCAUGGCCCGACCUCCAACCCUCUGUUGUUAAAACUACCUUGUUGCUUUGGCGGGACCGUCUCGGUCUCCGAGCGCACUAACCCUCGGGUUGGUGAGCGCCCGCCAGAGUCCAACCAAACUCUUGUAUUAAACCAGUCGUCUGAGUAUAAAAUUUUAAUUAAAUUAAAACUUUCAACAACGGAUCUCUUGGUUCUCGCAUCGAUGAAGAACGCAGCGAAAUGCGAUAAGUAAUGUGAAUUGCAGAAUUCAGUGAAUCAUCGAAUCUUUGAACGCACAUUGCGCCCCUUGGUAUUCCGAGGGGCAUGCCUGUUCGAGCGUCAUUACACCACUCAAGCAUCGCUUGGUAUUGGGAACGGUCCGUCGAAAGGCGGGCCUUCCUCGAAGACCUCGGCGGGGUUCAACCAACUUCGGGCGUAGUAGAGUUAAAUCGAACGUCUUAUAAGCUUGGUCGGAUCUCAUUGCCGUUAAACCUUUAAAUUUUCUAGGUUGACCUCGGAUCAGGUAGGGAUACCCGCUGAACUUAAGCAUAUCAAUAAGCGG
Molecule: ribosomal RNA, 577 nt
Filed under: Hormonema sp.
Lineage: Eukaryota; Fungi; Ascomycota; Dothideomycetes; Dothideales; Dothioraceae
Description: eukaryotic LSU rRNA
Rfam family: 5.8S ribosomal RNA (bases 204-357)
Source: RNAcentral